UACAUCAGCCCCAGGUGUCAGUUAGCUAGUUAGCAUACAUUAAAUAAUCAUGCAGUAAUUGGUUGCUGCCAGUCUGCCAGCUUGGCUUGAGGGACAAUAACUAUGGGAGAACUGUUAAAAAGCCUCAACAUAGCGGUUACACAUUUUUGAAGCUAUAAAAGCUUGACCUUGAGAAGUUUCCAAUUGGCCACAUGAGGUUAGCUAAGUUCAUACAGUUGUUUGAAAUCAUAGACAUAUGUACAUGUAUAUAUGUUUGAAAUAAUAAAGUUUACGUCCAAGAUGGCCGCCGGGGACAGAUGCCUACUGUCUUCGUCAGUCCCACUACCAUUCUUUUUCCAGCUGUCCCUCCAUGACAGGAGCCUCAGUCUUCGAGCCAGGACACGGCAAGUUAACUUCAUAUCUGUCAUCACUGUACACCUGUCAAACAUGCUCGCCUCCAUUGCUUGGGGAAUAAGUAGCUCCAUUAAUACAGUGACAGUUGUCCUCCUUCCCCACUCCCCCUGGCUUACAUUCUCAACUGUACCGCACCCAAAUAUUAGAGGGGGAGAUUUAUUUGGAAGGAGCAGAUUACAUUUUGUUUGUCAUUUUAAUGUUUGUUUAAACAUCUGUAGAGGAAAUAGGGACCCAGUAAACUGGCGUAUACUGUUAUGCAGCAGUUAGGUCCACAAGAUGGAGCCAAACUCUAAAAAUAGAACUCCAAAAUCCCUGAGCCAACCUUGGUUCCUCUCCACCUCAGGGUGUUCAGGCAGAGAAUACUUUUACCUGUUUAUUUAUAGAAUGCAUCCUGACACUUUGAUGCAUAUAAACUUUAAAAUCUACUGUAUGUAUAUAUUGAUGAUAAUGAUCGUGAUGAUUUUUAUUCAGUGGCUGACAUUAUUCUCGUGAAGGAUUUUGUUGACUUUAGUUUCUGCAUCUUUACUUUUUUAUGUAAAAGAGCUGUUUGCUUGCUUCCGUUCCAUUUCCAAUUUUGGAGAUAGAC
Molecule: long non-coding RNA, 979 nt
Organism: Acanthopagrus latus (yellowfin seabream)
Lineage: Eukaryota; Metazoa; Chordata; Actinopteri; Spariformes; Sparidae
Exons: 3
Source: RefSeq, a predicted model, not a curated record